This 555-nucleotide long non-coding RNA is filed under the name Homo sapiens (human). RNAcentral's name for it is "non-protein coding lnc-IL1F10-1:1". Lineage: Eukaryota; Metazoa; Chordata; Mammalia; Primates; Hominidae. The record is from RNAcentral.
CUUAGGCAGGAACCCAACACGCUGGAGUCAUCUCAGCCUAAUACCUUCCCAAUUAAUUAUUUUAACACAUGGUAACUCAUUUCUGCUGGCCCUUCCCUUGUGAACUGUGCCCAUGGACCACCCAGGCAAAUGCAGGCCUCCUCCUACUUACUAGUGGUGCUGUUCCAAGUUGAAUCAUGUUCUCUAUAUAACUAAAAAAAAUUUUCACAUGUAAAAUAUGCCAAUUCUCUAACAGUGCACAGAAGAGGAAGAGGACAUAAAGACUUAGAAGACAUGUCUCUAUGACUGAAGGACACAUAGUGCAGAUGGGAAAACCAGACCUUGUGAAUAAAAGCUCAUAUUUAUUGACUGCAAGACACUCCAAAUAGCACUUAGAAUCAAAUUCUGCAGGACUGUGGUAGAAAUAGUGAUGGGACUUUCUGGCACUAGGGUUUAAAAGUAAGGAAUGGAGGCAAUUUCUGACAGGUGCAGUUCAGCGAUGCCAAGAGUAUUCUUCUCCCACGCCCCAAGGCUCAUUCCUUAAAUUCCUUCUCCUCCCUAGAAACCACACCAAAG